UACGAAGGUCCCGAGCGUUGUUCGGAUUUACUGGGCGUAAAGAGUCUGUAGGCGGUAAAGUCAGUCAGAUGUGAAAUCCCGGGGCUCAACCCCGGAACUGCAUCCGAUACUGCUUUGCUCAGAGUAUUGGAGGGGAAUCUGGAAUUCUCGGUGUAGCAGUGAAAUGCGUGGAUAUCGAGAGGAACACUAGUGGCGAAGGCGAGAUUCUGGACAAUUACUGACGCUGAGAGACGAAGGCCAGGGGAGCAAAAAGG
RNAcentral lists this ribosomal RNA (254 nucleotides) under uncultured bacterium. Its description in RNAcentral is "partial 16S ribosomal RNA". It matches the Rfam family "Bacterial small subunit ribosomal RNA", at positions 524 to 776 of the family's 1533-position model. The record is from RNAcentral.